GAUAGUUUGAUGAUUGGUUUGCAA
Molecule: non-coding RNA, 24 nt
Filed under: Arabidopsis thaliana (thale cress)
Lineage: Eukaryota; Viridiplantae; Streptophyta; Magnoliopsida; Brassicales; Brassicaceae
Source: RNAcentral